GGACAGCACAAGCACAAGGAAACUUUUCUUUUAAUUAAAAUGUAAUUAAUUCAUUAGUACCCCCUGCCCAUGGCUGUCAUUCUUAUUUAAGGUGACCCUCAGUUGUCUUUCCAGGCACAGCCUGAGUCACUGUUCCUCAUGUCUCUCUAAUGAUUAUCUUACUUCCUCUGGCAACUUGGCCACAUCUAUAUGACCCAAAUGACCCAUAAGAUUUCUAAAAGAAUCUAGUUUAUGCCAUAGUCUUCUAUCAACCUGUGCUAUUUCAGAAAAAAAAGCUGAUUUGGGUCUUGCUUUCACUUUCCUUAAAGCUUUUCCAGAAGAUCCUGAAGAAAGUGAAUUUUCACCAGGAUGCCCCAAAUCCAAACCUAAGGUCUAUCAGAGGCACCUUGAAAAACUGGCAAUAGGAUCCAUCUACCCAUCCAGUUUUUCCUCUGGAUGUGGAUGGUGUAGAACUCAGAUAUUUUUAAUCCAAGAUAAUACUUUUUAAACUAGAUCACAUUAACUAUACAUUUUAUUUAUAAAUUUUAGAAAAGUAAAAU
This 539-nucleotide long non-coding RNA is filed under the name Monodelphis domestica (gray short-tailed opossum). RNAcentral describes it as "lncRNA (ENSMODG00000038973.1)". The record is from RNAcentral. Lineage: Eukaryota; Metazoa; Chordata; Mammalia; Didelphimorphia; Didelphidae.